RNAcentral lists this ribosomal RNA (448 nucleotides) under uncultured bacterium. RNAcentral's name for it is "SSU rRNA". It matches the Rfam family "Bacterial small subunit ribosomal RNA", at positions 26 to 518 of the family's 1533-position model. The record is from RNAcentral.
AGGAUGAACGCUGGCGGUCUGCUUAACACAUGCAAGUCGAACGGAGUACCUCGGUACUUAGUGGCGGACGGGUGAGUAACGCGUGAGAAUCUGCCCUUAGGUCGGGGACAACCAUUGGAAACGAUGGCUAAAUACCGGAUAAGCCGAGAGGUAAAAGAUUAAUUGCCUAGGGAAGAGCUCGCGUCUGAUUAGCUAGUUGGUGAGGUAAAGGCUCACCAAGGCAUCGAUCAGUAGCUGGUCUGAGAGGAUGAUCAGCCACACUGGGACUGAGACACGGCCCAGACUCCUACGGGAGGCAGCAGUGGGGAAUUUUCCGCAAUGGGCGAAAGCCUGACGGAGCAAGACCGCGUGAGGGAGGAAGGCUCUUGGGUUGUAAACCUCUUUUCUUGGGAAGAACAAAUGACGGUACCAAGGAAUCAGCAUCGGCUAACUCCGUGCCAGCAGCCGC